This 2043-nucleotide long non-coding RNA is filed under the name Malus domestica (apple). RNAcentral's name for it is "long non-coding RNA (MDOM_LNC014840)". The record is from RNAcentral. Lineage: Eukaryota; Viridiplantae; Streptophyta; Magnoliopsida; Rosales; Rosaceae.
UCCACUUAUAAGUGAGAGGUUUUACAUUUGAUUCUCUCCAAAGUGAAGUUAAACCACAUUAUUAUAGCAAACUCUUUGUAAGGCUUUGCUCACUCUUCCACCCUUUAGUGUAGAAAGUAAAUACUAUCGUUUGUUAAAAAAAAAAAAAAAAACAAUGACACAUGCACAAUAAUUUACAUACUGAUCAUAAAUAAAUUUAUAUAUAGGUAAAUUAAUUAGUACAAAAAUAUGGACAUGUUAUUUAAUUCAAAGUUAAUUUAUCUAUAGUUUAUGUAAAAUAUAAACGAAGUAUGUGCAUAUCAAAAAUUUACAAUUAUCUUAGUCACUGUUAUAAAAGACCAAAUUUUUUAACACCAACAAAUAGUACACCUAUUAUUUAAAUUUUAAAAAUGACAUUUUGGAUGCGGUCCCUAACUAUCAAUAUUCUUUGACUGAAACAUUGUUGGUUUUCAAUUUUUAAUCGAAGUCCCUGAAAUUAAUGUGAUAAUGUAUUUCUAUGUAGGUUACUAUAUUUUUUAAAUUAAAAUUUGAAAUUUAUAGUUGUUUGUAUUAAUGAGAUUUUAAAUAAAAAAACCCAUAAUUUGUGAUUAAAAUUAUUAAAAUAUACAUUAUACUCUCCAAUAUAUUGUGUGUGUGUGUGUGUGUAAACAUGGGUACAUUCAUUAAAAUUAACAAAAAAAUUAUUGUACCAAAAUAUGGGUACAUUCUUCAAAACCACACAAAAAACAAUAGAUAUUAGGCUUAAUAACAUUAGUAAAUUUCUUUAAUUAAACUUGACAUGGAUACAUUCUCAAAUCAAGAAAAAGAAUGUACCCAUAUAAGUUUAAAAAUGGAUUAGAAAAAUAUUGAAUAGAUUUUAUAUAAAAAUAGGGUUCAUUUUACUACAACAAAUUGGUAUAUUUAAGAAUGGGUACAUUUUAAGAUUAAAAAUUUGAAAAAUUACAUGAAUGGGUAAUACAAGAUUAAAAAAUUGGAAACCCUUUUAUAAAAAAUUAAGGGGUACAAACUUAUUCUAAUUUUUUAUUUAUUUUGGAAAUGUUUUGAAUUGAAAAUUAUUUAGGAGUUUAAUAAAGGUGUGAGCAUUAAAAUCCUAAAUCAAUUAUUAAUUUUUAUUUUAAAAAUUAUGUAACUGACAUGUAAAUUCAUUAUUGCAGUAAUGGUAGGGACCUUGAUCAAAAUCUGAAAACUAAUAAAGUUUCAAUCAAAGAACGUUAGUAACUAAGGACCUAAUACUAAUUUUUCCAUUUUAAAAUGUUAGACCACUUUGAAAAAAAAGGAAGAUGGAAGCAAGGUUUAAGUGUUAUUCUCAUUCUAGUGUUUUAUUUCUCCACCCAUUUUUUAAUGAAAAUUUUAAUUAUAAGUUUGCCUAUUUGUAAAAUGACUGAUAAGAAAGAUUAUAAUAAAAAUAGGUUGGGGGUAAAAAGGUAACAUGAGCCCUACUAAUAUUCGGUUUUGGAAGAAAUGGAUAAUAUGUAAGCCAAAUUCAUAAAAAAGACAUUAAAGAUGAGGAUAGAAGAAAUUCUGAAAAGAGAAAGUGUGGAUGUCUUUCCCAAUUAAAAGGUAAUAACUAGCAACUUAUGAUGAUUGAAUAUUAAUGAUAAUUAGUUGCUUAUAGAUUAUCGUCGGAGGAGACUUCAUUGUUGGGAAAAUUGUAUUUUAAUUUUUUAAGAAUAAUGGUGGGUGGGGAAAGAGCAUAUUAGAGGUUAUUUUAGGAAUAAUAGUGAGUGGGGAAAUAACAUUUCAAUUUUUUUUUUAACUUUUGUGUGUGGAUGAGAUUAUAAUGUGAGUGAAAAAAUAGGACAUGUGGUGGGUCUAGCAGCUCUAUAAAAAAUCCUUGAAGCUAUUGAGUAUUACGGUUGAGUAGUAUUCCUCUUUACUUGUAAGUGAAAUGUCUUCGGUUCGACUCUCGUCAAAGACGAAUUUGAACGACAUCAUUGCUAGUAAAGAGGAAGAAGGAGAAGAAGGGGAAGGAAGAAAGAGGAAGGAAGAAGGAGAAGAAGGAGGAAGAAAAAAAAAAGUUGUAGUCGGAGGAAGAAGAAGAAG